RNAcentral lists this ribosomal RNA (548 nucleotides) under uncultured archaeon. RNAcentral's name for it is "bacterial SSU rRNA". It matches the Rfam family "Archaeal small subunit ribosomal RNA", at positions 325 to 877 of the family's 1478-position model. The record is from RNAcentral.
ACGGGGUGCAGCAGGCGCGAAAACUUUACAAUGCGGGAAACCGUGAUAAGGGAACUCCGAGUGCCCGUAAACGCGGGCUGUCCAUCUGCUUAAAAAACAGGUGAAGAAAGGGCUGGGCAAGACCGGUGCCAGCCGCCGCGGUAAUACCGGCGGCUCGAGUGGUGGCCACUAUUACUGGGCUUAAAGCGUCCGUAGCUUGGUUGUUAAGUCUCUUGGGAAAUCUGUCGGCUUAACCGACAGGCGUUUAAGGGAUGCUGGCAACCUAGGGACCGGGAGAGGUGAGAGGUACUUCAGGGGUAGGAGUGAAAUCCUGUAAUCCUUGGGGGACCACCUGUGGCGUAGGCGUCUCACCAGAACGGCUCCGACAGUGAGGGACGAAAGCUGGGGGAGCAAACCGGAUUAGAUACCCGGGUAGUCCCAGCCGUAAACGAUGCGCGUUAGGUGUAUCGGUGACCACGAGUCACCGAGGUGCCGAAGGGAAACCGUCAAACGUGCCGCCUGGGAAGUACGGUCGCAAGGCUGAAACUUAAAGGAAUUGGCGGGGGAGA